GGCUCAGGAUGAACGCUAGCGGCAGGCUUAAUACAUGCAAGUCGUGGGGCAGCAUGAGUAGCAAUACUUGAUGGCGACCGGCAAACGGGUGAGGAACACGUACACAACCUUCCUUCAAGCGGGGAAUAGCCCAGAGAAAUUUGGAUUAAUACCCCAUAAUAUAUUUGAUAAGGCAUCUUAUUUAAUAUUUAAAAGGCUUCGGCACUUGAUGAUGGGUGUGCGGCUGAUUAGAUAGUUGGCGGGGUAACGGCCCACCAAGUCUACGAUCAGUAGCUGAUGUGAGAGCAUGAUCAGCCACACGGGCACUGAGACACGGGCCCGACUCCUACGGGGAGGCAGCAGUAAGGAAUAUUGGACAAUGGACGAAAGUCUGAUCCAGCCAUGCCGCGUGAGGGAUUAAGGUCCUCUGGAUUGUAAACUUCUUUUAUAUGGGACGAAAAAAGGGCAUUCUUGUUCACUUGACGGUACCAUAUGAAUAAGCACCGGCUAACUCCGUG
Molecule: ribosomal RNA, 497 nt
Filed under: uncultured bacterium
Lineage: Bacteria
Description: bacterial SSU rRNA
Rfam family: Bacterial small subunit ribosomal RNA
Source: RNAcentral